AACCAUUCUCACCUGCGGCUAGACCUGCGGAAGGAUCAUUACCGAGUUUACAACUCCCAAACCCCUGUGAACAUACCUAUAUGUUGCCUCGGCGGAUCAGCCCGCGCCCCGUAAAACGGGACGGCCCGCCGCAGGAUCCACAAACUCUGUUUUUAUUGUAACUUCUGAGUAACAAAACAAAUAAAUCAAAACUUUCAACAACGGAUCU
This 208-nucleotide unclassified non-coding RNA is filed under the name soil metagenome. Its description in RNAcentral is "partial contains 5.8S ribosomal RNA, internal transcribed spacer 2, and large subunit ribosomal RNA". The record is from RNAcentral.